Molecule: ribosomal RNA, 889 nt
Filed under: uncultured bacterium
Lineage: Bacteria
Description: bacterial SSU rRNA
Rfam family: Bacterial small subunit ribosomal RNA
Source: RNAcentral
CGUGGGCAACCUGCCCUAGAGUUCGGGAUACCCUCUCGAAAGGGAGGCUAAUACCGGAUACGUUCCUCGGGUCGCGAGACCUGGGGAGGAAAGGCGGCGAAAGCUGCCGCUCUUGGAGGGGCUCGCGGCCUAUCAGCUAGUUGGUGAGGUCACGGCUCACCAAGGCUAUGACGGGUAGCUGGUCUGAGAGGACGACCAGCCACACGGGAACUGAGACACGGUCCCGACUCCUACGGGAGGCAGCAGUGGGGAAUUUUCCGCAAUGGGCGAAAGCCUGACGGAGUGACGCCGCGUGGGGGAUGAAGGCCUUCGGGUUGUAAACCCCUGUCAGAGGGAAAGAAGGGUCGGCGCGUGAAUACCGCGUCGAUCUGACGGUACCUUCAGAGGAAGCCCCGGCCAACUCUGUGCCAGCAGCCGCGGUAAGACAGAGGGGGCAAGCGUUGCUCGGAAUCACUGGGCGUAAAGGGCGCGUAGGCGGGGUGGCAAGUCGGUCGUGAAAUCCCUGGGCUCAACUCAGGGGGGUCGGCCGAUACUGCCGUUCUUGAGGGAUGCAGAGGAGACUGGAAUUCCCGGUGUAGCGGUGAAAUGUGUAGAGAUCGGGAGGAACACCGGUGGCGAAGGCGGGCCUCUGGGCAUUCCCUGACGCUGAGGCGCGAAGCGUGGGGAGCAAACGGGAUUAGAUACCCCGGUAGUCCACGCGGUAAACGAUGACGACUAGGUGUGGGGGGGUUAAGUCCCUUCCGUGCCGCAGCUAACGCAUUAAGCCGUCCGCCUGGGGAGUACGGGCGCAAGGUUGAAACUCAAAGGAAUUGACGGGGGCCGCACAAGCGGUGGAGCAUGUGGUUCAAUUCGAUGCAGAGCGAAGAACCUUACCUGGGCUUGACAUGUA